AGCACAGAGCCCUAGGACCUGUCACUGUCACUAGAGACCUCCCUUCAGCUUCCAGAACCACUUGGAGGGACCAGGAAGUCUGUGACUGUGCCACGUGGCACCAUGAAGUCCCCAUCCUCCUGGACCCAAAUGCCUGGCUCCUGGAGGCUCCCUUUGUUUCUCUGCUUCUCAGCUAAGAACAUUAGAGCCUGACACUCAAGGCAUGGUCUCCCCACCAGCACUGCCAUCUGCAUCGCCCGGGAGCUUGCUGGAAAUGCAGAAUCUUGGUCUCUACCCCCAGAUCUGUUGAAUCCAAAUCUGAAUUUUAAUCAAUCCCCA
This 318-nucleotide long non-coding RNA is filed under the name Homo sapiens (human). RNAcentral describes it as "non-protein coding lnc-ANGPTL2-1:3". Lineage: Eukaryota; Metazoa; Chordata; Mammalia; Primates; Hominidae. The record is from RNAcentral.